CAUGAAAUUAAGGCUAUAAGAAGAAAAACAAGAUAUUUAGAGGCCAUUUACAAGACUUUGACUACUCAUUUUACUUGUGGAGUCUUGGUUGUAUGUUUUACAGAAUGACAAUAAUGAUCAACUUGUGAAGACUGUCAAGGAUACAGUGGCUGAACCAAGGACUUUACUAAGAGGAUCCAAAAUAUAAAGAGCAAACAUACAACCCAUGCAUUUUUGCCUCUGAAGGGGUGCAAGAUGAGGAUCUAACUCCAAUUGGUACUUGCUUACAUGCAAUGGCGGAGCCACAUGCAUCCGGUGUCAACCGAUACUCCUUUGCCGAAAAAUUACACUGUGUAAAUACGAAAAAAGAAUUUUUUAAUGUAUAUAUACUAUGUGUUGAAUCCCUUUAAUUUCGCUGUAUAUUUACUUUUUUAUAUUUUACAACCCCUUUGUAAAAAUUCUAGUUGCGCCACUGCUUACAUGGGGAUCUAAGUAGGCGUUUGGCCAUGAAAACCAAAACUUAUUCACUUUAUUUGGAAUUUUGAAGUUAGAGUUGAA
This is a long non-coding RNA of Lycium ferocissimum, 537 nucleotides long. RefSeq lists it as uncharacterized. Lineage: Eukaryota; Viridiplantae; Streptophyta; Magnoliopsida; Solanales; Solanaceae. The record is from RefSeq and is a predicted model, not a curated record. The transcript has 3 exons.